UUAAAUUGAAGAGUUUGAUCAUGGCUCAGAUUGAACGCUGGCGGCAGGCCUAACACAUGCAAGUCGAACGGUAACAGGAAGCAGCUUGCUGCUUUGCUGACGAGUGGCGGACGGGUGAGUAAU
This 123-nucleotide ribosomal RNA is filed under the name Escherichia coli. RNAcentral's name for it is "partial 16S ribosomal RNA". It matches the Rfam family "Bacterial small subunit ribosomal RNA", at positions 1 to 114 of the family's 1533-position model. The record is from RNAcentral. Lineage: Bacteria; Pseudomonadati; Pseudomonadota; Gammaproteobacteria; Enterobacterales; Enterobacteriaceae. RNAcentral also lists the same sequence under 18 other names.